Molecule: small nuclear RNA, 23 nt
Filed under: Arabidopsis thaliana (thale cress)
Lineage: Eukaryota; Viridiplantae; Streptophyta; Magnoliopsida; Brassicales; Brassicaceae
Description: snRNA_09752
Source: RNAcentral
AGACUUGACAUGUGGCAUAAUCU